RNAcentral lists this ribosomal RNA (412 nucleotides) under uncultured bacterium. RNAcentral's name for it is "bacterial SSU rRNA". It matches the Rfam family "Bacterial small subunit ribosomal RNA", at positions 925 to 1344 of the family's 1533-position model. The record is from RNAcentral.
GGUUUACUACUAGUGGUGGAGCAUGUGGUUUAAUGCGAUAACCCGCGCAAAACCUUACCAGUUUUUGAAUAAAGUUUUUUGAUUAAUUUCAAUAAAGAAAUUUUAUAUAUGAAACUUAUACAGGUGUUGCACGACUGUCGUCAGUUCGUGUCGUGAGAUGUUUGGUUAAUUCCUUUAACGAGCGUAACUCUUUUCUUUAAAAUUUUUUUAAAGAUACUGCUAAUAAUAAAUUAGAGGAAGGUGAGAAUCAAGUCAAGUCUCUGUGGCCCUUAUAAACUGGGCUACACACGUGCUACAAUGAAAAUAACAAAAAGUUACUAAAAUGUAAAUUAAGUUAUUCUAUUUAAAUAUUUUCCCAGUACGGAUUGUAAUCUGCAACUCGAUUACAUAAAGUUGGAAUCACUAGUAAUCG